Molecule: ribosomal RNA, 1239 nt
Filed under: uncultured Acinetobacter sp.
Lineage: Bacteria; Pseudomonadati; Pseudomonadota; Gammaproteobacteria; Moraxellales; Moraxellaceae
Description: bacterial SSU rRNA
Rfam family: Bacterial small subunit ribosomal RNA
Source: RNAcentral
CUUGCUACCUGACCCAGCGGCGGACGGGUGAGUAAUGCUUAGGAAUCUGCCUAUUAGUGGGGGACAACAUUCCGAAAGGAAUGCUAAUACCGCAUACGCCCUACGGGGGAAAGCAGGGGAUCUUCGGACCUUGCGCUAAUAGAUGAGCCUAAGUCAGAUUAGCUAGUUGGUGGGGUAAAGGCCUACCAAGGCGACGAUCUGUAGCGGGUCUGAGAGGAUGAUCCGCCACACUGGGACUGAGACACGGCCCAGACUCCUACGGGAGGCAGCAGUGGGGAAUAUUGGACAAUGGGCGAAAGCCUGAUCCAGCCAUGCCGCGUGUGUGAAGAAGGCCUUUUGGUUGUAAAGCACUUUAAGCGAGGAGGAGGCUACUUAGAUUAAUACUCUAGGAUAGUGGACGUUACUCGCAGAAUAAGCACCGGCUAACUCUGUGCCAGCAGCCGCGGUAAUACAGAGGGUGCGAGCGUUAAUCGGAUUUACUGGGCGUAAAGCGUGCGUAGGCGGCUUCUUAAGUCGGAUGUGAAAUCCCUGAGCUUAACUUAGGAAUUGCAUUCGAUACUGGGAAGCUAGAGUAUGGGAGAGGAUGGUAGAAUUCCAGGUGUAGCGGUGAAAUGCGUAGAGAUCUGGAGGAAUACCGAUGGCGAAGGCAGCCAUCUGGCCUAAUACUGACGCUGAGGUACGAAAGCAUGGGGAGCAAACAGGAUUAGAUACCCUGGUAGUACAUGCCGUAAACGAUGUCUACUAGCCGUUGGGGCCUUUGAGGCUUUAGUGGCGCAGCUAACGCGAUAAGUAGACCGCCUGGGGAGUACGGUCGCAAGACUAAAACUCAAAUGAAUUGACGGGGGCCCGCACAAGCGGUGGAGCAUGUGGUUUAAUUCGAUGCAACGCGAAGAACCUUACCUGGUCUUGACAUAGUAAGAACUUUCCAGAGAUGGAUUGGUGCCUUCGGGAACUUACAUACAGGUGCUGCAUGGCUGUCGUCAGCUCGUGUCGUGAGAUGUUGGGUUAAGUCCCGCAACGAGCGCAACCCUUUUCCUUAUUUGCCAGCGGGUUAAGCCGGGAACUUUAAGGAUACUGCCAGUGACAAACUGGAGGAAGGCGGGGACGACGUCAAGUCAUCAUGGCCCUUACGACCAGGGCUACACACGUGCUACAAUGGUCGGUACAAAGGGUUGCUACCUAGCGAUAGGAUGCUAAUCUCAAAAAGCCGAUCGUAGUCCGGAUUGGAGUCUGCAACUC